RNA transcript from Musa acuminata AAA Group (dessert banana), 1903 nucleotides. It is a transcript of the gene named mitochondrial dicarboxylate/tricarboxylate transporter DTC-like, with no coding region annotated. The transcript has 8 exons. Lineage: Eukaryota; Viridiplantae; Streptophyta; Magnoliopsida; Zingiberales; Musaceae. The record is from RefSeq and is a predicted model, not a curated record.
CCUAACCGCUUUUCAUGUAUCAAAACAAGACAGCGACUUUUACGGGUUUUUCUCGUCUCGCUCACAGCUAACUUUACUGUUCGAUCCGCCCCCCAAUCCCCCCUCUCUGUGUCUCUGGUGGUGAUGGCGGAAGGGAAGCCCAAGAGCCCGUUCGGAGUCUGGAGCACCAUCAAGCCCUUCGUCAAUGGAGGCGUCUCCGGCAUGCUCGCUACCUGCGUCAUCCAGCCCAUCGAUAUGGUCAAGGUGAGGAUCCAGCUGGGGCAGGGAUCAGCUGUCGAGGUUACGAAGAACAUGCUUGCCAAUGAAGGGUUUGGCUCCUUUUACAAGGGAUUAUCAGCUGGUUUACUAAGGCAAGCUACCUAUACAACUGCACGAUUGGGUUCCUUUAGGGUGCUGACAAACAAAGCUGUCGAGGCUAAUGAUGGCAAACCACUGCCUUUGCUUCAGAAAGCUGCUAUUGGUCUAACAGCUGGAGCAAUUGGAGCAUCUGUGGGAAGCCCAGCUGAUCUAGCACUUAUCAGGAUGCAAGCCGAUGCAACUUUACCUGCAGCACAACGACGAAACUACAAAAAUGCAUUUCAUGCACUAUAUCGUAUCAUUGCUGAUGAAGGGGUUCUGGCUCUAUGGAAGGGUGCAGGUCCAACAGUAGUAAGGGCAAUGUCAUUAAAUAUGGGUAUGCUUGCAUCUUACGAUCAGAGCGUUGAACUAUUCAGGGAUUCCCUUGGUUUCGGCGAAGUUAGCACUGUUCUUGGGGCAAGCGCAGUUUCAGGGUUCUUUGCAUCUGCUUGCAGUCUACCUUUUGAUUAUGUGAAAACACAAAUACAGAAGAUGCAACCUGAUGCCAACGGGAAGUAUCCUUACACUGGGUCUUUAGACUGUGCCGUGAAAACGUUGAAGUCUGGUGGCCCCCUCAAAUUUUACACUGGAUUUCCUGUCUACUGUGUGAGAAUUGCUCCCCACGUCAUGAUGACGUGGAUAUUCUUGAAUCAGAUUCAGAAGGUUGAGAAGUCUUUGGGCCUAUAGAAUCCCACCUUAUCGGAUCGUCGAGGAUGAUGCCAUUGUGACGAACGGAGGUGGCCGCCGCAUCAGCUUCAGCGCCACGGGUUGAGCCCGAACGGGACGGACUGUCACCAUCGCCGCUCUCAUAAAAUCUGGCCGGGGCCAUCACGGUUCGACUCGAUCCAAUCAUGUGGGAGGGUUUCUUAUCAAGUCCGCGUGAGUUCCUGCGGGUGUUCCUCUCAGAGUGGCCCAUAUCAGCCUUGUAGCAUCAACUGUUGCUGCCGUGACUUGCUUCUCCAUUUCUAGCUUUUCCAGAUUCGAAAUGUCUGCUGCUCUUCGGAGGGAGUCACCUAACUGCGCCAAUAAUUUAAGAAGCUGAAGGCAUGCCACAGGAGCAACGGUGGCCCCCCAAAUACUAGAACAAGAUUUAGAUAGGGGUGGCGAAGACAAGCCCUCUCCGGCGUGGAAAUUGCGGAGGGCUGAUUGUAUCCCAGACGACUGAGGGAGUGCAGCCGUGGAUUGUGUACAAACAUGUCACGGUUCGCCAUGAUUCCCCAAACGUCAUCGCUCCUGUGGUGCGAGGAAGUUGAGUAUGUUCUUUUCGUGUUGCGUGUGACAACGUCGAUGAGAUACGAACAUAGGUGGCGGGAUGGUGACGCGAAGGAGAUGGCAUCGAGUUGGCAGAAAUGGACGGAUGAUGAGGUGGACGGAGACGUAUAGUAUGUGAAAAAUGAGUGAAUAGAAAUGUUGGGGAAGAAAGAUGAGAAGGCACGAGGGAGAAGUCGAGAUAUAUAUUUUUUUCCAAAGAAUGCCAAUGUGGUCCAUCGAGGGAUAUUCUUAUUGUUGGCUUAGAAGAAAAGAUGAUGAUUUUUGUAAAAAAAAUUAUGUUUUAGAUAUUUCUUAA